CGCGUAGGUGGUCAUGUAAGUCCGCUGUGAAAGUCAAAGGCUCAACCUUUGAAAGCCGGUGGAUACUGCAUGACUAGAGUACGGAAGAGGCGAGUGGAAUUCCUGGUGUAGCGGUGGAAUGCGCAGAUAUCAGGAGGAACACCAAUAGCGAAGGCAGCUCGCUGGGACGUUACUGACACUGAGGCGCGAAGCGUGGGAGCGAACA
This 205-nucleotide ribosomal RNA is filed under the name uncultured bacterium. RNAcentral's name for it is "partial 16S ribosomal RNA". It matches the Rfam family "Bacterial small subunit ribosomal RNA", at positions 568 to 774 of the family's 1533-position model. The record is from RNAcentral.